RNAcentral lists this ribosomal RNA (535 nucleotides) under Diphlebia hybridoides. Its description in RNAcentral is "partial 16S ribosomal RNA". It matches the Rfam family "Bacterial large subunit ribosomal RNA", at positions 1819 to 2619 of the family's 2925-position model. The record is from RNAcentral. Lineage: Eukaryota; Metazoa; Arthropoda; Insecta; Odonata; Diphlebiidae.
GUCUUCUUGUUAUUUUAUGAGAAGUCUGACCUGCCCGGUGAUAUUAUUUUUAACGGCCGCGGUAUCUUGACCGUGCAAAGGUAGCAUAAUCAUUAGUCUUUUAAUAGGAGGCUGGUAUGAAGGGUUUGACGAGGUGCUUUCUGUCUCAAUUUGAUGUAUUAAAAUUUAACUUUUAAGUUAAAAGGCUUAAAUUUUGUUGGAAGACGAGAAGACCCUAUAGAGCUUUAUGUUUAUAUUUUUAAUUAUUUUUAGAUAAUACUUAUUUAUUAUUUUUAUAUUCAUUUUGUUGGGGCGAUGAGGAAAUAAAAUUAACUUUUCAAUUAUUUUGAACAUUUAUUUAUGAAUAUAAGAUCCAAUUAUUAUUGAUUAUUAGAGUAAGUUACCUUAGGGAUAACAGCGUAAUCUUCCUUUGGAGUUCAAAUUUACAGGGAGGGUUGCGACCUCGAUGUUGGAUUAAGAUUAUAAUUGGGUGCAGUAGCUUAAUUAAUAGGUCUGUUCGACCUUUAAAUUCUUACAUGAUCUGAGUUCAGACCGG